UACGAAGGGGGCUAGCGUUGUUCGGAAUCACUGGGCGUAAAGGGCGCGUAGGCGGCCGAUUAAGUCGGGGGUGAAAGCCUGUGGCUCAACCACAGAAUUGCCUUCGAUACUGAUUGGCUUGAGACCGGAAGAGGUCAGUGGAACUGCGAGUGUAGAGGUGGAAUUCGUAGAUAUUCGCAAGAACACCAGUGGCGAAGGCGGCUGACUGGUCCGGUUCUGACGCUGAGGCGCGAAAGCGUGGGGAGCAAACAGG
This 253-nucleotide ribosomal RNA is filed under the name uncultured bacterium. RNAcentral describes it as "partial 16S ribosomal RNA". It matches the Rfam family "Bacterial small subunit ribosomal RNA", at positions 524 to 776 of the family's 1533-position model. The record is from RNAcentral.